GGGCGAUUGGCGCAGUGGUAGCGCGCUUCCCUGACACGGAAGAGGUCGCUGGUUCGAACCCAGUAUCGCCCA
RNAcentral lists this transfer RNA (72 nucleotides) under Arthrobacter psychrolactophilus. It matches the Rfam family "tRNA". From Rfam's summary of the family: Transfer RNA (tRNA) molecules are approximately 80 nucleotides in length. Their secondary structure includes four short double-helical elements and three loops (D, anti-codon, and T loops). Further hydrogen bonds mediate the characteristic L-shaped molecular structure. tRNAs have two regions of fundamental functional importance: the anti-codon, which is responsible for specific mRNA codon recognition, and the 3' end, to which the tRNAs corresponding amino acid is attached (by aminoacyl-tRNA synthetases). tRNAs cope with the degeneracy of the genetic code in two manners: having more than one tRNA (with a specific anti-codon) for a particular amino acid; and 'wobble' base-pairing, i.e. permitting non-standard base-pairing at the 3rd anti-codon position. Lineage: Bacteria; Bacillati; Actinomycetota; Actinomycetes; Micrococcales; Micrococcaceae. RNAcentral also lists the same sequence under 8 other names. The record is from Rfam by way of RNAcentral.